GGCUCAGAUUGAACGCUGGCGGCAGGCCUAACACAUGCAAGUCGAGCGGUAGAGAGAAGCUUGCUUCUCUUGAGAGCGGCGGACGGGUGAGUAAUGCCUAGGAAUCUGCCUGGUAGUGGGGGAUAACGUUCGGAAACGGACGCUAAUACCGCAUACGUCCUACGGGAGAAAGCAGGGGACCUUCGGGCCUUGCGCUAUCAGAUGAGCCUAGGUCGGAUUAGCUAGUUGGUGGGGUAAUGGCUCACCAAGGCGACGAUCCGUAACUGGUCUGAGAGGAUGAUCAGUCACACUGGAACUGAGACACGGUCCAGACUCCUACGGGAGGCAGCAGUGGGGAAUAUUGGACAAUGGGCGAAAGCCUGAUCCAGCCAUGCCGCGUGUGUGAAGAAGGUCUUCGGAUUGUAAAGCACUUUAAGUUGGGAGGAAGGGUUGUA
Molecule: ribosomal RNA, 434 nt
Filed under: Pseudomonas sp. R-39396
Lineage: Bacteria; Pseudomonadati; Pseudomonadota; Gammaproteobacteria; Pseudomonadales; Pseudomonadaceae
Description: bacterial SSU rRNA
Rfam family: Bacterial small subunit ribosomal RNA
Source: RNAcentral